AUGAAGAUACCUCUAAAGAAUACAAUCUUUGCAUGGUAUCUUCGUCGCCGAGUCAUUCUUACUAAAGAUAACCUUAUUAAGAGAAAUUGGCAUGGAAGCCCGCAAUGUGUCUUUUAUCACCAUGAUGAGACAAUAAAAUAUUUAUUCUUCCAAUGCAAAUUGGCUCGUUCUAUAUGGCCAGUCAUCCAGAUAGCUUCUGGUUUGUAUCCUCCUUGUAGUGUUGCUAAUGUAUUUGGCAACUGGUUACAUGGGAUAGAUUACAUGUUUAGAACUAUUCUUAGGGUGGGAGCGCUUGCCGUUAUUUGGUCGCUUUGACUAUGUAGAAAUGAUAAGGUGUUUAAUGAUAAAAGUACUUCUCUGAUGCAGGUUAUAUACAGGUGUACCGGGACUCUUCGUUUAUGGUCCUUUCUACAACGUGUGGAGAAUCGAGGCCUGUUUACGGAGGUGUGUACACGAUUGGAGGAUACGGCGAUGGAUACUUUUACCCAACAUGGGUGGCAGCAUGAUCUUAGAAUUGGCCCACCUCUGCUUUAG
This 534-nucleotide ribosomal RNA is filed under the name Triticum aestivum (bread wheat). RNAcentral describes it as "partial small subunit ribosomal RNA". Lineage: Eukaryota; Viridiplantae; Streptophyta; Magnoliopsida; Poales; Poaceae. The record is from RNAcentral.